Non-coding RNA from Physcomitrium patens, 4130 nucleotides. The record is from RefSeq and is a predicted model, not a curated record. NCBI's taxonomy places the organism in Eukaryota, Viridiplantae, Streptophyta, Bryopsida, Funariales, Funariaceae.
GAUGAGCAAUACCUGAAGCUUCUGACCUGCUCGCCUCUUCGUCGGAGGUCGUAUCCCCCGAACCGAUACUUCGAUGGGCGGGUAUUCUGCAUCGAAAUACAAUAUCUUAAUGUCGUUUGAACACAUAGUUUAGUUCACAGCGAUGCUUUCGAUGGUUUCCGUUCAACUGUGUACGUUUACGCGAUGAUUCAUGUAGCAAAUUGUGUUGCUGAUUAGGGUUUGAUUGAGGUGCAAGGAGAGGUGGUAGAGUUGAUGGAUUUUACGAGCGGUGAUGGAGUCUAGUGUGUUGUUAGGGAUUUUCUCACGCUCUGGUAUAGGGGUUGUUUGCGAGUAUAAAUUUGGGAGAUAUUCAUUCACAGUGCAGAACCAGGUGAUGGUUGUAGGUUUCUGAGACUUAAAAGAUUUUUAAUUUUUUUACUAAGAGGUUUAUUUGAUCUGGGUCCAUGGUGUCCUUGUAUUUACAAAAGCCUCCUGGCGUGGAGGUUAGCAAUGACGAAGAUGCCAAACGGAGGAGAGAGUGGCUGGAAAGCAUUGGAGCUGUGUUGCAGAGGGUGGUGGGAGUUGAAGCUCGGAUGUGGCUUAUUACUACCCUAUCAUUAUUAGAGGUUCCUUCUCACGUACAGGUGGAAUGCUUUUUCGACCUAUUGCAAAAUUCGAUGCGGGAUAGUGUGAAACGUAGAGAAGAGAAUGCAGAAGGUCCUUUGGAGCUUCAAUUCACAAGGAUGCUUUGUGAAAAUAGACCUCGAAUUGCAGCGAAGUUGAUUGCCGACGACAGCAGCAUUUUUAAGAGGCUAUUUUCAGACAAUCCGAAAAACAUUCUGCUGUGGUUCGGUAAAUUUGCGGGCGCUGGACAAACUGAGCAUCAACAAGGAGCCCGUGCACUCGCAAAUUAUGCUUUUAGAAACCGUGACCUAUGUUGGCAUCUUCUUGAAUGGGAAGGGAAGCAUGCGCAAGCACCUUCAACGGUUGCUGCUAAGCCGCAUUACUUCUUAGAGCUUGAUGUUGUUAACACUGUCCAGAACUUUUUGGAAGAUGAACCUGAGUUUUGGCGGUCGGAUGAGUUUAGGGAUUCCUUGAAAGAUGGCGAAUUCUUGUCCAUUGAUAUCAUGUUUUUUGCAAAGGUGAUGGUGAAGAAGUUGGCUAGCGACAUAGAUAGUGCUUUGGACACCUGGAAGGUUCUGAAGAACUAUAUAAGAGAUGAGUCAUUUUCAAUAUUGUGUCAGCAGCUACUCCAUGUUGCUAGCGACGACAAGCUGCUAAUGUUCGUAAAUCAUUUGGGAUCAGACCUUCCGCGUGGUUACAAGAAAGAUGGCAAAAACGGCAAUACUAAUUUGGACAGAGCAGUUAGGAGCUGGAUGGAGGUUUUAUCUUUUGCUGGUAUGCAGUGGAAAAGUUUGGUGGAACCUAUGUUUUGUAAUGCGUGCAUAAAUCAUGGGCGAAAUCUUCUGCGCGCAUUACAUCAAGAGGAACAUGAAGAAGAUGCUAAUUUUUUGAAGCAGCUCAUUAACAACAGAACCAACGACGAGGAAAAAGAACACUGGGCUCUUAAAGUCAAAAUAUCAAGGAUGGAUAAAGCAAGUGUUUGUAGAUAUAUAGCCCUAGAGGCCUGGGUAUUAUUCUAUCAGUUAUCAAGCUCUGCUGGUACCAAUUUUGAAGCCGUGCUGAAUGAAAGUGGAAUUCAGUUCCGACAUCAUUCUCCGGCAAAGGAUGUCAGAAACAGGAAGAGGAAUAGGAAAAGUAGUAAACGUCCAAGGAAAAGAAAACAAAAGAGACGUCGCUCGAUUGAUGCAGAUGAUAGUGACGACGAGUCAUCCGACGACAUUGAAUUGUCAAACCCGGAGAUUUUCUCGAAAGACGAGCAGGAUUGGCGGGUCUCUAUUGACAACUACAGCUUAACUUGGACAAGGGCAGAUCUUGCGGAGUAUCUGACAGGAUUUGCUGUGCAAGGAUGGUUGGAUUGGCUGAGUAAAUCAUGACUUUGCUCGCAGCACGAACAUAUGUUAAGAACACAAUCCAUUGGCGCAAUACAUGACGUUUCUAUGCCAAGCUCAUUUUCUUCCUGAAAUAGCUGGCAUUUUUCCUGCGCUUGAGGAUAUUGGUGAGUUGAUGAUCACCCCUACAUGUUGGUGGGUCAUCUAUCUAGUUGCUUUUGUAAUUCCUGGGGUGCGGGUGUAAUUGUGUAGAAUUGAUGUGGCUUCUGGAGUCUGAAAUAACACCUGCAGGCUCACAAAGCCGAACCGGGAUUCUGGUUGGGAGAUUUAUUGACGUGUUGCUUUAAAACUCGAGUAGGAUGUUCCCAGACAGCGGCAUUACAAGAACGCCUAAUUUCUUUAAAAUACUUUGAACCAGUUCUGAGAGACGCACCGAAAGAGGCUUCUAUCCGCACCUACCACCUGACUCAUCAUCUAUAUUUUGUUGUUAUGAAGUGCAUUAAUCCGCUGUCGAAAGGCGUUGGUGCACCAUGUUACUAGGCUUUUAUUUGUAAUGACUCAAAGUUUUAAAAGAAGAAUUAUUUUAUUGCCUUCCAUGAAUUGGAAACAAAUUAUGUAGUUACCAGCUACUGUGCGUCAUUCUAAUGACGACUGUGGAAUCACAUACGUCUCGAAUUUCGUCUUUUUGGUUUUUUGCUCAAUGUUGUUGCUAUUCAAAUAUUUCCGUUAUCAAUGUUAUGCCAGAAUGACCGACAUAUUCCAAUGGGAUCAGGUUGCACUGAGGAACUGCACAAGUACAUGUAACGUACCAAACAAGGUGCCAGUAUGGAGCAACUCAGUGAGUUCUCGGACUUUAUUUCUAGCCGCACAUCGGAGGUACGCGGACGCUGCGACCUGUCUAUUAUUAGUCCUCGCUGCAGGUCCACACUAAAUCUUUCAGACUUUCCCAUCCCCAAUAGACAUCUGCUCAGGGCUCCCGGAGUGAAGCUACUCACGACUCUACUGGACAAGCCAAUGCUAUCAAGCACGUCAAGUACGACAAUUUGUUCUUCGCCGUCUAAGCAGAUGUAUGAGACCUUGCCGCCUGAACUUGAGACAUCCUCGGAGUGAUGGUGGUUGUUACUUAACUGAAGGUCAUCGGUAUUCGGCGUGGAAAUAACAGAAUUGUGCGAAGAGUGUAUUUCAGCUGGUCCUCGUGCAUCCGCACGACGUUGGCACAUGUCUUCUUGAAAGACAAAUGCAGCCGCCAUUGGGUUGUCGAAAGAGAAAUCAUCUUCAUCAACUUUGAUCCGAGCAUCCUUGAGAAUAAUUGCAACAAAUAUUACCAUCAGAGUGGCGAAACUCAAACAAAAAAAUUCGCGCAGGCAGCUUUUUGCCGUUUGAAUGGAAGGUGAGGCUGAGUGGAAAAGUACCUGAUCCUGUCUGCUUUGGACAUUAUUUGCUUGCUCCAUAUCUGGCUCAAGCAAGUCCGGCUCAGCCGCGACAUCCAUGUGUAACGGGCCUGAACUGGGCACCCACAUGGACUUUCUACCUGAUCCAAGCUCCGGCCACCAGCUUCGCCCUGAUCGCGCCCCCUCCACCACACUUCUCGAGCGGGCAGAACCUCCAAUACAGCACGUCGUUAACGAAAACGGCAUGACUGCAUCUUUCCCCCGACAAAAACCUUUCUUGGCAGAAGGACCUGGGGAAGUGGCAGGUAGUUGAUGUUUCUUGCUGACCAUUGUGGAGACAGUUCUCAGGGGUUUUGGCAUCAGAGAGACUCCAAGAGCUGCUGCCCGACGACCAGCAAUCGUAUGAGGACUUAUCCUUCUUCACUCUCCCGGAAAUAUAUAUCUCGAUAGCAGAACUUCUACGGCAAAUCUAUCUUCUCACAAUCAAAUAUCUGAUGUCCACUUGGCAUCUAAGAUCUUCCCUUGGUUCAUGAUGUGCAUGAGACUCCGGAACUCCUCAACAUAUCUGCGUUCUAAUCCACGCCCGCAGUCCAUGUCCACGGUGAAAUGUCGUAGCUUCUCCAAAGUGCUCCAGUAGAGCUAGAGCAUCCAUUGCACGAACUCUCAACUCAACGUCUGAUGUUAAGGCUUUAUCCAUAAGCAAUACCUAGCAGCGUCAAGUACUGUCUGCAUCAACUCAAGAGAAAGAUCAGAACACGGUGGAUAAUUAAUAAAGGAAGCCCAUCUGUAGCUGCAAUGUCUUUGGUUC